RNAcentral lists this long non-coding RNA (1404 nucleotides) under Apteryx haastii (Great spotted kiwi). Its description in RNAcentral is "lncRNA (ENSAHAG00000017002.1)". The record is from RNAcentral. Lineage: Eukaryota; Metazoa; Chordata; Aves; Apterygiformes; Apterygidae.
AUGCUUGUGUCUCCACAGGAGAUGGCGCACGAUGGCUCCCGGCCAGGCUGGUUCGCCCCGCAGUGGAUCCUGACCCUCGUGAUGCUGACGACACCACUCGAGAGCAUGAGCAGUCCRAACCACGCACCCCAUCAACUGACGACCAGGAAGAGUGGAAACGUCUGGGGUACCACACAGACACUUGUGUUCCUAAUUCAGGCGGCCCCGGUGACAACAUUGAUCUCAAACCCAUGGGACAGCAAUGUCAAUAUUUGGGARAAGUUAGCUAGGGAAAUACUAAAUCCCACUCAUUUUUGUCUAGAAGGAGGAAUUUYGGCGAGCCAAAUUUACACCACUUGCACUAUUGGUUUUCCUAUACCCCUGGAGACAAUGCGAARCAAAUCAAUAUUGGCAAAUUUCGACGUCGUCAAUACGUUUGGUCAGAUGUCUCRAUGGGGUUCUGUCACAACACYGUAUGAUGAAACACUGAUAGAACUUAAGGUGAAAGGAAUGUUUCCCGCGGUUGAGUGUGCUGUGAUGGUAAACUGUACCAGCAAAACUCGAGCAUGCCRUAACUUUACRAAAGAUGGGCCUUCUCUUAAAUGUAAUCACACAACCAAUGUAACCUUUAACUAUGCACAUAUUGUGCUCCCUACAGGAAUAUUUUGGCUAUGCGGGGUAAAAGCUUACUCCUACAUUCCAGCCAAUGCUACUGGCGGCCCCUGUACUCUCGGUCGCUUGAGCCUCUGUAUGCCAAGCAAACGAGAGCUGGAGGAUAUGACUAGAGAUCAAACACGAAAUAGGAGGGAGGUCUCAUCCCUCGACCCUGAAUGCAAUUCAGAAGYGAUCUUAUUCUCAGCAUCACAAAUCUCAGCCGCAGCAYUCCUUACACCUGGGGUGGGAGUUGCUAUGAACUACCAAACUUUAAAAAGAAUCGCAUGUUCUUUAGCUAAGACUAUCAAUGCUACUUCUGUUGCYCUAUCAGCAAUGCUUAAAGAUAUGCAAGCCCUGCGUGCUGGCGUGUUGGAAAACAGAGCAGCAAUUGAUUACCUUCUUUUACGACACAACCACGGAUGUGAAGAGUUCAAAGGCAUGUGUUGCUUCAACCUGAGCAACCGUUCGACCCUGAUUGAAGGAAAGAUCAACAACCUCAAACACCYAGCCUUAGACAUUAAAAAGCAAAACGACGAUUGGUUACAAAACCUGUUCCAAGGAUGGGGUUUGUCRGGAUGGUUGCUAUCACUGGUAAAGGGAGGGCUACUGGUGUUGGGAAUACUAAUAUGCCUUUUGUUGAUAUUACCACGUUUAGUGACGUACCUGCAAGGUGCCAUGCAAAAGACAAUCCAGCACAUAAUGUUUGUAGACAAACAAACGGGGUUUGAUAUUGAUGAAGUAAGCCUAUGGCCAUCCUAUGGCCUUGAAUAA